CGUUGGAACACCGGCUGCCAUACGAUCACCGAAGUUAAGCAACGUAAAGCUUAGGCAGUACCUAGAUGGGUGACCGGUUCGGAAUACCAGGUGGUGCAA
Non-coding RNA from Acanthosepion pharaonis, 99 nucleotides. The record is from the annotation of a GenBank genome assembly. Lineage: Eukaryota; Metazoa; Mollusca; Cephalopoda; Sepiida; Sepiidae.